UUCGGUCGGGAAAAAAUGCGCCGUAGCAAGCACUGCUAUGCCGACAGUUGAAUAGAAUUUAAGUUCACACGCUUCAGUGAACUAUGCCAAGAACCUCUAGAGAAACACCCUAAACAAUGCAACACUCUAAGGCGCUCUCAGCGGCCCGGCAAAGUGAAUGUCCAGCGAAGCUCUCGCAAAACCAGCACUAAUGGCUGAAGGAGCUCUUCGUCCCAUGUCCUGUGAACAACUCGUGUCCGAAAUACGAGAAACGCAAUGAGUCGGCAGCCACGGAGACUCAACGUCGUUUUUCAGUGGCUGCCGGGUCCCUGAGGCAUCUCCGACAACGACCUCGUCGACGAAGCUGCAAGGAAAGCACACGAAGGAGCAAACUGUGUUUCUCUGCUUUUAUCGAAGGCUGACUGACAUUGGAGAAGUGACACUGAACUGAAUUUGCCCACUAUUAGUUGCAUUCUCUCGACCCGUCUAUGCAACUGCGCCUGCUACCUGAGCUUCUGUGAAGCGAGAAAACAAUGCUGCGUCGUUUACACCUGGGCAUUGCAUUCACCAUUGCAUAUACAUGUUUGAUUCGAAUAGCCGAUAGAGCCAAGUGAUAUGCCUAUGGUGUCGAAGAGGCUAUAAAACACUUCCUGUGCUAUUGCCUAGCCUUUCAAAAUAAGACAUGACCGCUGCACAGCUACAUAAAUCACAACUAUUAUACAAAAUUUCGUUGUUAUCGUGCAACAUUAGGCAGCAUUGUAUAACCAGACUUUGUCUACUGGCUACGUUCCUUUUCAUUCGUUGCACUAUUAGCCAAUACUCAAUGCGUAGAAAGUAUUUAUCUGCUACGCACUAUUCUUUCCUAUUUUUGCUAUUUACCGCUGACGAAAGUUGUGUAAUUGGAAAGCUUUUUUUCUUCUUCUUACUCAAUGGAUUCUGUCUGUCUGCGAUCCUCCACAUACUCCCUCUGUAAUGCCUUAGGGCCAAGUGGGCAUAAAUAAAUAAGUACUUAUUAAAAACGAGUAUACAUUUAUAGACAAACAAGUAAAUAAAUAUAGAUAUAAAGAUUGUA
Molecule: non-coding RNA, 1051 nt
Organism: Dermacentor andersoni
Lineage: Eukaryota; Metazoa; Arthropoda; Arachnida; Ixodida; Ixodidae
Source: RefSeq, a predicted model, not a curated record